AUAUUUCCAGCAGUAGAUGGAGAGUUUUCAUUUUCCGAGGAGCACGAUGAAGAAGAAAAUCAGUUUAAUGAAUUUCGAUGCUUAAUUGAAAAUAUAAAGAGUGCUGGAGCCUGUUCUACUUCGGCUGCUGAAUUUUACACCAAGCUGUGCUCACAUGCUGAUCAAAUAAUGGAAACUAUUCAAAGGCAUUUCCACAAUGAGGAAAUUCAGGUGCUACCCCUUGCACGAAAGAACUUCAGCUUUAAAAGACAACAAGAACUUCUCUAUCAAAGUCUGUGUAUAAUGCCAUUGAGACUAAUUGAACGAGUUUUGCCAUGGUUGA
Camelina sativa (false flax) is the source of this 322-nucleotide non-coding RNA. The record is from RefSeq and is a predicted model, not a curated record. Lineage: Eukaryota; Viridiplantae; Streptophyta; Magnoliopsida; Brassicales; Brassicaceae.